AUUGAACGCUGGCGGCAUGCUUUACACAUGCAAGUCGAACGGCAGCACGGGCUUCGGCCUGGUGGCGAGUGGCGAACGGGUGAGUAAUAUAUCGGAACGUACCCAGAAGUGGGGGAUAACGUAGCGAAAGUUACGCUAAUACCGCAUACGAUCUAUGGAUGAAAGCAGGGGACCGCAAGGCCUUGUGCUCCUGGAGCGGCCGAUAUCUGAUUAGCUAGUUGGUGAGGUAAAGGCUCACCAAGGCGACGAUCAGUAGCUGGUCUGAGAGGACGACCAGCCACAGGGGAAGGGAGACGCGGCCCAGACCCCUAGGGGGGGAAGAGGGGGGGAAUUUUGGACAAGGGGCGCAAGCCUGACCCAGCAAGGCCGGGGGAGGGAAGAGGGCCUUGGGUUUGAAAAGCUUUUUUGUAGGGAAAGAAACGGUAGAGGCAAAUAUCUUUUGCAAAGGAGGGUACCGAAAAAAUAAGCACCGGCAAAGUACGGC
This 484-nucleotide ribosomal RNA is filed under the name uncultured bacterium. Its description in RNAcentral is "partial 16S ribosomal RNA". It matches the Rfam family "Bacterial small subunit ribosomal RNA", at positions 29 to 508 of the family's 1533-position model. The record is from RNAcentral.